Molecule: long non-coding RNA, 972 nt
Filed under: Phoenix dactylifera (date palm)
Lineage: Eukaryota; Viridiplantae; Streptophyta; Magnoliopsida; Arecales; Arecaceae
Description: long non-coding RNA (PDAC_LNC015552)
Source: RNAcentral
CCAAGAAUGAAUGCUUCCUCCUUUUAUAGGUUGCAUGCUCACCCUCCCUCCUCCUCCGUUUCUUCACGUGCGUGGGAGGAUAAGGUCGUCGAAGAUUGAUAUGAUCCGUCGUUGGGAAGAGGGUGAUGAUCCAGAAGAGGCCAACGCGGAGACUGUUGACGUGGAUUCCGGGGAGAUGCUUACAGCUGAAGGAGUUGCUUGGAUAAAGAUGGAUCUCGGAACAAGAUGAGAGCUAGGAGAUGAUCUUAUCCGGAAGAAGGAAUCUCAUGCGGGUGGUGUUGAUAGGAUCAUUUGUGAACUUGUCCAUGGAUAAGAACAGGAAGGCUGGGAUCUUAGCGGAGGAAGAUGCGCACGGUUGGUGUUGGAUUUCUUUAUUCCGAAGCAGGGUAUGAAGGUGCAAGCUGAGAAGAUCUCGGAUGCAUGGGAUGUUGCUGAAUGGAAACGGUUGGGAGAUUUGGGAUGCUAACGGGAUGAUAACUCUGUUUGAAACAGGGGAGGAUGCGGUUGGAUGCCGUGAAGCUCGGGAGGAACUCGGAUCAAGCUUGGGAGCGGAUGCAAGGCUGUUUUGCUAGGAGGAUGAUGAAUACGGAGACGUGGGAGUUUGGAUUCUGAACGGGAUCUAGGACGGCUGGGAGAUGAUAUUGUUUUGCUGGGAGAACAAUGCGGAAGGGAAUGCUUGGAUGAUGAUGAUCCGGAAGAUGUUGGGGUACUGUUCAUGGCUGAGAUGAAUAUCGGAUCAACAUGGAUGUGAGGCUGGAUACGAGUUGGAAUUUAGAGCUUACAUGGAUGUGAUUCCGAGGGAAGUUGGGUUGGUUCGGAAGAAGAGGGUGGUUGCUGGGACGUUGGGAGAUUCGUGGGAUAAGGAGGAUCUCAGACUGAGAGGAAGCAAUCGGUUGCGAACUGAAGUUGGUUGGGAGAUGGAAUAAAGAUGAACUCGAUGUAGAUGAAGGGGAGGAGGUUUUUGGAAUGUAG